This is a long non-coding RNA of Oreochromis niloticus (Nile tilapia), 575 nucleotides long. RefSeq lists it as uncharacterized. The transcript is spliced from 3 exons. Lineage: Eukaryota; Metazoa; Chordata; Actinopteri; Cichliformes; Cichlidae. The record is from RefSeq and is a predicted model, not a curated record.
UUUGAUUUGAAUAAAGUUAACUUUAGAGCCUCAGUGGAAAUGUAUGUAGCAUGACACAUAAAAAGGACCAAGCUCACAGAAGGAACGUAUUUCUACCUGCUACAUUAUCUACAUUUUGAACGACAAUGGACAGAACCAGCUACUUUUAUGAACAGCAGCUUGAAUGCACCUGCUGCACGGAGGAUCGCCAGGACCAAAAGGUUUCUCUAGCUUUCAACAGUGAGUAUAGAUCUGUAGGCUGACACUGGACAGGAGAUUGUCAGGGGGUAACCCUGGGGAAAUGAGGGAGGGCAGGAGGCUCUGCCAGCCUUGCCAUGUCCGCCAUUUCCGCUGUCUGACGCACCCCCACGCUGCACAGCCUCCUCCCUCGGCACAUUGGAAACAUCAAUCACUGCUAUGAUCUUGCUGAAAGACUGAGGCUCACCCAGCAUAGCAGCUCAGCAAUAAAAACUCUAUUUACGAUCUUACGUCCGCUGCUCGCUGAUCCUGAAAUACUAUUGCACUUUCCCCAGCUUAAACCAGCCCUAACCACCGGCCCACCUCAGAUAGCUCCCCCACCCAGCCUCUGUGGCCAC